GAUGAACGCUAGCGGCAGGCCUAAUACAUGCAAGUCGAGGGGCAGCAUAGUAGCAAUACUGAUGGCGACCGGCGCACGGGUGCGUAACGCGUAUGCAACCUACCCAUUACUGAGGGAUAGCCCCGGAGAAAUUCGGAUUAAUACCUCAUGGUAUCAAGGACAGGCAUUUGUUUUUGAUUAAAGAUUUUAUCGGUAAUGGAUGGGCAUGCGUCAGAUUAGCUAGUUGGCGGGGUAACGGCCCACCAAGGCGAUGAUCUGUAGGGGGUCUGAGAGGAUGAUCCCCCCAACUGGUACUGAGAUACGGACCAGACUCCUACGGGAGGCAGCAGUAGGGAAUAUUGGUCAAUGGGGCGAGAGCCUGAACCAGCCAUGCCGCGUGCAGGAAGAAGG
RNAcentral lists this ribosomal RNA (390 nucleotides) under uncultured bacterium. RNAcentral describes it as "bacterial SSU rRNA". It matches the Rfam family "Bacterial small subunit ribosomal RNA", at positions 28 to 414 of the family's 1533-position model. The record is from RNAcentral.